GACUGCAUAGCUCAGUUGGCAGAGCAUUGGGCUAGUAUUCCAAAGGUCGUAGGUUCGAAUCCCACCGUGGCCA
Non-coding RNA from Paramuricea clavata, 73 nucleotides. The record is from the annotation of a GenBank genome assembly. NCBI's taxonomy places the organism in Eukaryota, Metazoa, Cnidaria, Anthozoa, Malacalcyonacea, Plexauridae.